GACGAACGCUGGCGGCGUGCUUAACACAUGCAAGUCGAACGGGAUUUAGUAGACAGAAGCCUCGGCUAAAGAUUACUACUGAGAGUGGCGAACGGGUGAGUAACGCGUGAGCAACCUGCCUAUGACAGUGGGAUAGCCUCGGGAAACCGGGAUUAAUACCGCAUAAAAUCGUAGAAACACAUGUUUUAACGGUCAAAGAUUUAUCGGUCAUAGAUGGGCUCGCGUCUGAUUAGCUAGUUGGUGAGAUAACAGCCCACCAAGGCGACGAUCAGUAGCCGGUCUGAGAGGAUGAACGGCCACAUUGGAACUGAGACACGGUCCAAACUCCUACGGGAGGCAGCAGUGGGGAAUAUUGCACAAUGGGGGAAACCCUGAUGCAGCGACGCCGCGUGAACGAAGAAGGUAUUCGUAUCGUAAAGUUCUGUCCUAUGGGAAGAUAAUGACAGUACCAUAGAAGAAAGCUCCGGCUAAAUACGUG
Molecule: ribosomal RNA, 478 nt
Filed under: uncultured bacterium
Lineage: Bacteria
Description: partial 16S ribosomal RNA
Rfam family: Bacterial small subunit ribosomal RNA
Source: RNAcentral